This 297-nucleotide unclassified non-coding RNA is filed under the name uncultured Cortinariaceae. RNAcentral describes it as "sequence contains ITS2". The stretch from base 1 to 52 matches the Rfam family "5.8S ribosomal RNA", at positions 103 to 154 of the family's 154-position model. Lineage: Eukaryota; Fungi; Basidiomycota; Agaricomycetes; Agaricales; Cortinariaceae. The record is from RNAcentral.
AACGCAUCUUGCGCUCCUUGGUAUUCCGAGGAGCAUGCCUGUUUGAGUGUCAUUUGACUUAUCAACCGCUUCAUGGUGAACAUGGACGUGGCUUUGGAUGUGGGGGUCUUUGCAGGCUUUUUGAAUCUAAAGGUCAGCUCCCCUGAAAUGCAUUAGUGGCAUCUGAGCUGCUACUAUAGGUGUGAUAAAUUAUCUAUGCCUUUGGUAUGCUGCAUGAACGGAUUGCGCUGCUUACAACGAUGAAAAUAAUUUGACAAACUUGACCUCAAAUCAGGUAGGACUACCCGCUGAACUUAA